CAAUUAUCAGCUUAAGGCAAAGUUGCUGGAAUGGUUACAGGCAGCCAGUUGCUUUGUGGGAAUCUGAUAUGCACCUGGCAAGCACAGGGAGCAGUGCGCCGUUGCUUGUAGUGUUCUGCCCGCCCAAGGGACCAUCGUCGCAGGUCAAGUUCUUUGUGGGUUUCCAGAAACAGUUCAGGUGCCACUCUCUGGCUGCCCCAGCACUGCCAAAGAAUCCAGACCACUGGCUUUACUGAAGUUAUGAUGGACAGAGAACGAGGAAGCUCGCUUUGUGAAGAAAUCUAAUGGCCGCUGUUCCCUCUUCAUGUCACUUCACUGACUUCUGGGCAACCGCAGCAGCACUGAAGACGCUGCCACCUGAAGCAGUUCUUCUUUAGAGAAGUCACAUAGGAAAUGUGGCCUGGCUUCUUCUCAGCUUCGAGUACUGGCUACCAGGUCCCCAGGUCACCUCCUUCCUAAGCAAGUUUGAGGAGCAGAGGAAAGGAAGGAUCCCUUUGCCCCAUCUAUACCUGCAGCUACAAAGAGGAGUCUUUGUACAGGAACAGAGUGGAAUUUGCUGGCUGCAGAGUGCUUUAAGCAGUGCAGCUGUAAUAUGCUACAUGCCAGAUUGUAGACAUUCCUGGCACAGAUUUCCAGAAUAUGAAUAAACAUGGGAUGUAUGUAUAAAACAGCACACAACGCAGGCCCUCGGAGGCCUGGAGAGUGCAUGGCAAUGCCUUUGUGCACAUACAGCCUGAAGGCCAGGUGUCACUUUCAACUCCAGUAUCCACAUAUGCCGGUCAAUUAUUUCAAUGUAUUGGAGGAAUUAUCUGAUAAUGUCAUACCUCUCCAAUGCACAGACUCAUUUCCAAUUGCAAUGUCCCUUGAUGGCCACCACAAGAUGUAGCAAUGAAAUACCACAAAUAUCACGAGUAGGGAGGCAAAGAGAACUUGAGAACAUGUUAAUUAGGAAGGCUUAGGUGGGCUGCAAAAUCUCUAAGGUCAUCCAUUCCGAGAUCCAGCGACAGGGGUAGAGUCACAAGUGAUUCACUGCAAAGGGAAGCAUUAUUUUAGAAAAUGAAUAAUUAAAAUUCAGGAACUGCUGAACAGCACUUAAGCAAGACAAAUCCUAAUGUCUGUGUAAGUAUCAUGCCCAGUGUAUGUCUAGUCCUGUGCCAUUACAACACUUCUUUGAAAAAAAAAACAACACAGAAGGAGAAUAUGGCAUUGUAGGCAGCAAACAGUCAACAAAAAUAUAGGGUGACCCCACCUCUAACAGCUGAGCACUCUCAGCCCCUGGGGAAAGACUGCUGCCAUAUAGAUGUGAGGUGGUUUUCUCUGAUGCAAGGUGAUACAUCAGACCUCACAAGAGUCAGUGGGGGUCUUUCUGCUGACACAAUGAUAAUGCCUUUGCAUCAUUGAGUGCUGUUAAUCAAAACCAAAAGCAAGAGAAUGUUUUCCAAAGAUUACUUGCUAUUUUUUCUCCCUGAAUUUUUUGACAAUUUGAAGAGUGGAGCACUGUGCAGGCACAGGGCAAACACUUAAAUUAGGCCAGAGGUAACUUGUGGCACUGUCGUAACUGCCAUAAAUGCAGAGAGAAACAGGUCAGCAACUACAAACUCUGGAAACAUACGUACCCAGAUGUUGGAUUUAAAAGCAUGAAAAUGGCAUAUAUACCAUUCUCCUCCUGACCUGUUCUUUACACUCUACUAUGUUGCACGCUGUUCUUUCUCCUCUCCAGAGCAGAGAGAAACCAGAUCUUUACACACUCAUGGUGAAUUUUCAAAUCAGUAACAUAUGAAACUUUGUCUAAAAGGUAAAGAGGCUGUAAAAAUCAAUGUCAGAGAGAACACUUUGCCAAUUCAAUUAUACUUCUCUCAAACUGAAAACAAACGAGAAAAAGAGACAAGAAGCAAAAAAAGGGAAAAGAUGUGGGCUUAUUUCAAGCCCAAUAAAUGUUCCUUGGGCUAACAUCCCAAUUCGUUAAAUAUUCUCAGGGCUGCUUAUGCCAAGUCCCCUCAAGGGGUCAUAAUUAACUCUAAAUAGGGCUACCUUGUUUCACAAUCAGUCUUAUUUCAAGCAAUGCUCCUGUCUGUGUCCACAAUUUUAAAAUAAUGUUGUGUCCAUUAGAUGGCAUGAAAGUGUCCCAGAAAUGGAAAUCAGCCAU
Molecule: long non-coding RNA, 2146 nt
Organism: Gallus gallus (chicken)
Lineage: Eukaryota; Metazoa; Chordata; Aves; Galliformes; Phasianidae
Source: Ensembl